CCUACGGGUGACAGCAGUGAGGAAUAUUGGUCAAUGGCCGGAAGGCUGAACCAGCCAUGUCGCGUGAAGGUCAGUGCCCUAUGGGCGUUAAACUUCUUUUGUGCGGGAGCAAUAAUGGUCACGUGUGGCCAGACGAGCGUACCGUACGAAUAAGCAUCGGCUAACUCCGUGCCAGCAGCCGCGGUAAUACGGGGGAGGCAAGCGUUAUCCGGAUUUAUUGGGUUUAAAGGGUGCGCAGGCGGAUUUGUAAGUCAGCGGUGAAAUCGUGGGGCUCAACCCCAGACAGCCGUUGAAACUGGGGAUCUAGGGUGUGCGAGAGGUAUGCGGAAUGCGUGGGGUAGCGGUGAAAUGCAUAGAUAUCACGGAGGACCCCGAUUGCGAAGGGAGCAUACCGGUGCACAACUGACGCUCAGGCACGAAAGCGUGGGUAUCGAACAGGAUUAGAUACCCCUGGUAGUC
Molecule: ribosomal RNA, 459 nt
Filed under: uncultured bacterium
Lineage: Bacteria
Description: partial 16S ribosomal RNA
Rfam family: Bacterial small subunit ribosomal RNA
Source: RNAcentral